AGAACGAACGCUGGCGGCAGGCUUAACACAUGCAAGUCGAGCGCCCCGCAAGGGGAGCGGCAGACGGGUGAGUAACGCGUGGGGAUAUGCCCAAAGGUGCGGAAUAACUCAGGGAAACUUGAGCUAAUACCGCAUGUGCCCGAAAGGGGAAAGAUUUAUCGCCUUUGGAUUAACCCGCGUCAGAUUAGCUAGUUGGUGAGGUAAUGGCUCACCAAGGCGACGAUCUGUAGCUGGUCUGAGAGGAUGACCAGCCACACUGGGACUGAGACACGGCCCAGACUCCUACGGGAGGCAGCAGUGGGAAUAUUGGACAAUGGGCGCAAGCCUGAUCCAGCCAUGCCGCGUGAGUGAUGAAGGCCUUAGGGUUGUAAAGCUCUUUCGACGGGGACGAUAAUGACGGUACCCGUAGAAGAAGCCCCGGCUAACUUCGCGCCAGCAGCCGC
This 443-nucleotide ribosomal RNA is filed under the name uncultured bacterium. Its description in RNAcentral is "SSU rRNA". It matches the Rfam family "Bacterial small subunit ribosomal RNA", at positions 26 to 518 of the family's 1533-position model. The record is from RNAcentral.